This 488-nucleotide ribosomal RNA is filed under the name Vittaforma corneae. RNAcentral's name for it is "SSU rRNA". It matches the Rfam family "Microsporidia small subunit ribosomal RNA", at positions 43 to 562 of the family's 1311-position model. Lineage: Eukaryota; Fungi; Microsporidia; Nosematidae. The record is from RNAcentral.
UUAAGCCAUGCAUGUUUCCGCAAUCAGGGACGAAUAGCUCAGUAAAACUGCGAUGAUUUAGUCUGGCUGUGUAGAUAACUACGUGAAAAUGUAGCUAAGGGAAGGCAGAAUAAGACGCAGGACUAUCAGUUAGUUGGUAGUGUAAUGGACUACCAAGACAGUGACGGUUGACGGGAAAUUAGGGUUUUGUACCGGAGAGGGAGCCUGAGAGAUUGCUCCCACGUCCAAGGACGGCAGCAGGCGCGAAAAUUGCCCACUCUUUGCAGGAGGCAGUUAUGAGACGUGAAGAUGAGUAUCUUGUAAAGAGGGAUAGGAGAAUUGGAGGGCAAGUUUGGUGCCAGCAGCCGCGGUAAUACCGACUCCAAGAGUGUGUAUGAGAGAUGCUGCAGUUAAAAAGUCCGUAGUCAUAGAAGGGCAAAGAGAGAUGCGAGGUCUCACAGUGCGAUGAUGGAAGGAGCCGAUGGGGAACAUAGUAUACCAGGGCGAGA